CUUCGGGUCUAGUGGCGCACGGGUGCGUAACGCGUGGGAAUCUGCCCUUGGGUUCGGAAUAACAGUGAGAAAUUGCUGCUAAUACCGGAUGAUGUCUUCGGACCAAAGAUUUAUCGCCCAGGGAUGAGCCCGCGUAGGAUUAGCUAGUUGGUGGGGUAAUGGCCUACCAAGGCGACGAUCUUUAGCUGGUCUGAGAGGAUGAUCAGCCACACUGGGACUGAGACACGGCCCAGACUCCUACGGGAGGCAGCAGUGGGGAAUAUUGGACAAUGGGCGAAAGCCUGAUCCAGCAAUGCCGCGUGAGUGAUGAAGGCCUUAGGGUUGUAAAGCUCUUUUACCAGAGAUGAUAAUGACAGUACCUGGAGAAUAAGCCCCGGCUAACUCCGUGCCAGCAGCCGCGGUAAU
Molecule: ribosomal RNA, 405 nt
Filed under: uncultured Sphingomonas sp.
Lineage: Bacteria; Pseudomonadati; Pseudomonadota; Alphaproteobacteria; Sphingomonadales; Sphingomonadaceae
Description: bacterial SSU rRNA
Rfam family: Bacterial small subunit ribosomal RNA
Source: RNAcentral